GUAGUUAGCAGGUGUGCUCUUCUCGCAAAUUAAGUGACUCAGAAACAAUAAUGAGUUGAGCUCUAAUCAGUAUAAUUGUGCCCAGCCAGGGGAAUCUGCAUGAUAAAAUUACAUCAAUGUGUAGAGAUUCUCAUUGAGUUACUGAAGAAAUUCUAGACCAGCCAAAUUUGGAAACUGAGAAAGCUGAAUAACCAAAGAAUCAAUCAAGCAAACAUUCAGCUGUGCUUUUACGAGUCUAUCUUUUCAAGUAUGGCUGCUUUUCACUGCUAUUGAACUUGUGGACAUCAUAAGAGCUUUUUGGCUCCUAAGACCAGUUAAAACAACAAUGGUUUGUCAGCUUGCCCAUUCUAGGAGAAAAAGAGUGUGUGACCUAUGGCAGCUAACCAAUUGGAUAACAACACAGAUGACAUGCCAGGCCACUGCAAGCCGAGUUGAACUUCAAAGAUCAUGAUGAUGACCAUGAUGGAGUGAUGAUGAAGAUGGCAGUCUAGGACCUGCAUGUGUAAUUGCUCCUGCUGCUCACAACAGAAGACACCCACCAUCAUGCCAGGCAGUCAAUUUUCGUGACCAGUUUCGGGACUUAGUGACAGAUAUCUUCCAGAUGCAGAUGACAGCCCUGAUGGGUAACUUCUUUCAGAGCUCAAAAAAUGGCCAGCACUCCACAUCAGCAAUAAAAAUACUCUUUAUUAAUACUUAAUAAAAAGCAUGUAGAGGCAUUUAAUGAGCAAGACAAACCGGUUUUGAGCUUUGAAUUUUGGUCUUGCAUUGUUGCCAUACUUACGAGAGCAGUCCUAUGGUGUAAAAACUUCUUUCAGGACAUGGGGCAGGUGUGACUCCUUCUGGGAGACAGCUAGAAAGAUCUUUUGUGAUAUUCUACCCCAUCAGGAAAGUUCCUCAGUACUCUAAGUAUUGACUGUGUGAUCCACUUUUGUAAUGCUGCCACCACGGUGUUUUCCAUAUUCAAAUAUUUAUGGUCUAGGCACAACUGGGCAGGCAUCCCAUAUCACUGCCAUGUUUUUCUGACACAUGUCAUAAUGUACACUGCACAUACCACAAGAACACAGUGUAGUGAGGGAGAGAAGGGGGAGAAAUUGAAUACCAUCAUGGAAGUACUGAAUAGAGAAAACUAUAAAGCAACUAAGACAAG
Molecule: long non-coding RNA, 1147 nt
Organism: Protopterus annectens (West African lungfish)
Lineage: Eukaryota; Metazoa; Chordata; Ceratodontiformes; Protopteridae
Exons: 3
Source: RefSeq, a predicted model, not a curated record